Molecule: transfer RNA, 58 nt
Filed under: Escherichia coli
Lineage: Bacteria; Pseudomonadati; Pseudomonadota; Gammaproteobacteria; Enterobacterales; Enterobacteriaceae
Description: tRNA-Ser
Rfam family: tRNA
About the family: Transfer RNA (tRNA) molecules are approximately 80 nucleotides in length. Their secondary structure includes four short double-helical elements and three loops (D, anti-codon, and T loops).
Source: RNAcentral
GGAGAGCGCUUGCAUGGCAUGCAAGAGGUCAGCGGUUCGAUCCCGCUUAGCUCCACCA